Molecule: long non-coding RNA, 9000 nt
Filed under: Lynx pardinus (Iberian lynx)
Lineage: Eukaryota; Metazoa; Chordata; Mammalia; Carnivora; Felidae
Source: RNAcentral
GGUUUUUCCUUAAGCCUCAAAACAAUUUACAGCAUUGCCAGCAGCAUUCAGUACAUUCAGAACAGGAUCAUUUCACCCACAGCUGAAUGAGGGCCAUGCUUGGGACAGUAACCAGAAGAGCCUUCCAGCAGACAGGCCAGGGAGGAAGCCAGGGUCAGUGAGUGAAGAGGAGAACAGAGCCAUUUAAAGCAACACGGUUUAUGUAAGUGUGAUCUGACUGCUUCCACUGGAAAUGGGUCAGAUUGAGCAGAGAAAACCAGGGGCCUUGAUGACCCCAGUGAAGUCAGAUUAUGGCUUUUCGUUCAGUCUCUUUGGAGAAUAUGGCCUUUGAUGAAAUAGUGGUGCUUAGAUCCAUUGCAAUCUGCUGUGUUUCCCAUCCUCUUCUUGCCUCCUUGUAGUUGAUUUGCAUUUUUUUUCCUUUUUGGUUAAACCCAUUAAACUAAACAGGAUAUGUCAGAUGACAGACUGUGAUAAAUUUACUAUUGGGAAUAGGGGAAAAGUAUGGGAUAAAGAAAUAGGUCUUUUUUGUCUCACGGCCAUGAUUCAGUUCUGACUCAAAAGGAAGUGUGCCACCUACUGAAUCACGGAAACCACUUCCUGUAGCUGUUUGGUUUAUUCCGGAGGGGCAUUAGGCCAAGUACUGCCCUGCCCUGACCCUGACUGGCUCUUCAGAACCAAAGCGUUCACAACUUGAGGUGGUUUGGCCUGGGACGCUGAGAACAUUACAUAUUAAAUUACAAGUGUUUCGUUUCCUAGCAAAGAGUCUUCAGCAACAUGAAAACGAACAUGUGUUAUUUGCAAAGUGAGUGUCAUUACUCAACCUGAAUAUCCUUACUUUUUCAUAAGGUAUGUAUUCCAGAUGACCACUCUCAAGAUCUGAACGUACACUGGUUCUGUUUUCCUGAGGGCAGUUUGGGCAGUCUGUAGGGUGGCAGUAACCAGAUGAGGUUUCAAACGCACCCUUUCAUUAGUGAAGCAAUACUAGACUCGUAUUCAUUCAUGCAAUGUAUUUUUGAGCACGUGCUUAUUGCCAUGUCCUGCGCAAGGCAGGUAGAGAGAAUACAGUGGCAAACAAGACCAUAUGGCUCCUGACCUCAUGGUGCUUAUGAUCUGCACUAUACGGAAAUUAUGUUCGCUCUGUUAGAGUCAAGGAUCAUGCUUAGUGCACAAUUCAAAGGAACAUCAAUUAAAAGAAAACGUGUUCCCUCUCUGCCCACAGGACAUUUUUGACCCCAGAUGUGUGUGGGUUUCUCUACACCAAGGAAUUCUCCAACUCUCAGCAACCACUGACUAUCCUGCAAUUUAACUCAAUUCGGACCGUCAUUGGCCAGAAUUAGCACAGAUCCCCAGAGUUACAGGCUCAGUCUCACAAGAUUGCACUUCAGGUUCCAGUCGUAAGACCCACAUUGUCACCUGCAUUUCUGAUCAACUGGAUAUAAAUUGAGUUUUUCCUCCAUCUUCUCUUUGGGUUUGAUAAUCACCCAGAAUAGCUCAGAGAACUCAGAAAAAUACUUCAUUUACAUUUACCAGUUUAUUAUAAAGGAUACAACUCAGGAACAGCCAGAUGGAAGAGAUACAUAGGGUAGGGUAUGGGUAGAGGGGGUGUGCAGCCUCCUGCCCUCUCUGGAUGUACCACCCUCCCAGCAUCUCCAUGUGUUCACUGACCUGGAAGCUCUUUGAAUCCCAUAGCUUAAGGUUUUUAUAGAGAUUGCAUUGUGUGGACAUGAUCGAUUUAAUUAUUGGCUAUUGGUGAUUAAGUUAUUCUCCAGCCCCUGUCCUUCCUGGAGGUCACAGGGUAGGGCUGGAAGUUCCAACUCUUAAAUUACAUGAUUGGAUCCUCUGACAACCAGCCUCCACCUUCCAAGAGUCACCUUAUUAGCAUAAGCUUAAGUAUGGUUUAAAGGGGCUUAUUAUGAAUAAUAAAGAUGCUCUGAUCGCUCCUGUUGCUCAAGAAAUUCCAAGGGUUUUAGGGGCCCUGUGCCAGGAACCAGGGAGGAAGACCAAAAUAUAUAUAUUUCUUACUAUACCACAAUCAUACAGCCACAGCAUCUAGCAUGGGCCUUGCAUAAAGGAGCCCCUCAACGCUUGUUUGAGUAGAUUCACAUGAAAGAAAGAACAAAAGACAGAAAGAAGGAAGGAAAGAAGGAAGGGGAGAGCAAAGGGAGGGAGGAAAAGAAGUCAUCCCAAAAUGAUAUUGUAUUUGCAAGUGAAGAUGUAAAUAUCCAGCUAUUUGUUUUUCUUCUGUAAUGUGAAUGCCAAAUAGACUAAAGGUUUGUGCCUUUACGUGCAUCUGGAGAGUCUGCGAUGCUUUGUGAUAUAUAUAUGGGCUCCUAAUCAGGGAAGUUCUAGAACAAAGGAGGUCCAUUCUGAGAGCAGGUCAACAUGACAAGUCCUGAGAACCAUCUCUGAGUGUAAAAGGCUCUUUGUUCUCCUCCUCAGAAUAGGCCAGAAUCCUGGAUGCUAGAUAAUCUAUCAUUGCUCUGGUAGUGCAUGCCCAAAAGAUGUGUCAAAGGAUGGCUGUAAAUCUGUGUAACACUGAGCAAGUACCUUACCCACCUCAAAGAAGAAUAGUGAGAAUUCAGUGAAACAAUGUCUAGAAUGGCCCUUGGCACACAGAAGGCUCCUAUCACCACUACAGCUUCUCUUAAUAUUGUUACCAUUAUUACAUCCACUACUGCUACUUAGGUUACAUCCGAUAAGGCCAGCAGUUUUUCCAGAGUAUGACCAAUGGCUUUAUGUUUAAUGACAGAAUUCUAAGGUUCAGUGUCACAGCCUCCCUAAACCCAUGUUCUCCUUUUGACAAUCAUAAGAAUUAUAUAUUGACCUUCAGUUGAAACUCAUUGUGAAGAAGAGACUGUCUCAGUUACUUACUUAUGUUUAAUUUAUGAGAGGAAUAUUCUCCAAACAUCAAAUUAUAUACUAUUGAAUCCUUUAAAAAAUUAUAUGUAACCUAAAUAUAACUAGUGUUAUAAGAUAAUCAGAGGCAUAUUACAAAUUGUAAGAGUUUAUUUGAGCAAAAACUGAAUCUAACUGGGCUGUAUCAAACCAGAAGUGGUCAUGAGUGCUCUAUGGACAAGAGCUAGGGGAAAGACUUUUCUAGAAAAGACCCAGAAGCAAGAAAAUUAUUUGAUUGUCUAUAGCUUAUGUGCUUGCCUUGCUGGGGUAAGGGUAACUGACUGUGAUUGGUUGUCCUUAGGAUUCAAUUUCUUAACCUUGAGGCAUCACAGGCUUAGGUUUUAGUUUGUUAGAACCAGUUCAGACCCGGGGUGCCUGGGUGGCUCAGUUUGUUGAGCUUCUGACUUGGGCUCAGGUGAUGAUCUCGUGGUUUGUGAGUUCAGAGCCGGCUAGGGAUCCUCUGUUCCCUGAGCUCUCUGUCCCUCUCUCAAAAAAAAAAUUUGAAAAAACGUUUAAAGAAAGAACCACCUCAGUCUAAGGGCCUCUUCAUUUAAUUAAUUUAACACUAGGUUGUUUCACCCCUGCCUUAAGACUAUUCUCUGCAAGUUUGACUUACAUUUGGAAGAAGGAAAAAAAGAAGACAAGUAGGACGGGAUACAAAGAAGGGGGAAAUCCCCACCAGAAAUACUGAAAAGAGACAGAGGUUUUAUGGAAGUUUCCUUAAGUACCGCUGAGGUGUUCGCACUGUACCUCACACCGCAAAGAUAACUAGUGUCUUGUUCAAACCUUGACGAGUUUCCCUCAGAGUUCUCCUUUCUUUUUUUUUUUUUUAAAUGUGUAUUUAUUUUUGAGACAGAGAGAGACAGAGCAUGAACGGGGGAGGGUCAGAGAGAGAGGGAGACACAGAAUCUGAAGCAGGCUCCAGGCUCUGAGCUGUCAGCAGAGAGCCGGACGCGGGGCUCGAACUCACGGACCGCGAGAUCAUGCCCUGAGCCGAAGUCGGAUGCUUAACCGACUGAGCCACCCAGGCGCCCCAGAGUUCUCCUUUCUAUACAAAUCCAACAUUUCCCUUCACAUAGAUUCUUGUUCACUCAGAUGACACUUUUCUACCAGUCCCUCCAAAUCAUCCCAGAGUCUCCCUCUGUUUCACCUUCCCCUUAGCUUUCCUAGUUCCCUUACUGAUCAUUGGCUCAACAAAGGAUGGGAAGUUAAACCCUAACUGAAGUUUUCAAAAUCAAGGCAUUAUAAAAAGCUGUUUAGCCAAGAAUUACGAUAACAAUUACAGCAAGCAAAUAAAUUAGUUCACGAGUCUCAGAAGCUCAACAAGAUUUUAAACCCUCAUCUCUAUGUACAGUUUCAUUACCAUUUUUGUUCAGUGACACAUCCCAAGUGCCUAAAACAGUACCUGGCAAAAAUAUUUAUUGAAUAAAUAAAUUAGCUUAAGAGUUAACAUUUUAAGUAAAACAAAGUACCAUUAGAUUUCCUCUUCUUUUUCCUUUUUAAGUGGUCUGUGUGAGACAAAUAGUCACAAAUACAUCCAUAUGAAAGAAUAUAAUUUUCUGUCAUUAAUUUCUUAUUAUGUCACUUAAGGUCAAAUGUCACAGAAAAUUAUAUUGAACUCUUGACCAACCUGUCUAUUUUUCCCAUUGGAAUAUUGGCCUAAGAAAUAACAUCAAGGAAAAAUUAUUUGUUGGCAGGAAAUUGUCCUCUCUAAAUUCUUGUGUGUUUUGUUUUGAUUUUUCCUUAGUGACUAGAGGUCAGUUUCAACCCGCUGAAGCACAGAUUCCAAAUUUUCAAUCUGGUUUUCUUGAGUACUGACUGAGUGCCAAGAAUGAGGCAAUGACACAAAAUCACUACCAACACACACACACACACACACACACACACACUUCUAGGGCCUGUUCUGAUGAUUUGCAAGCUUCUUCCUCUCUAAAAUUUACCCUUAAGUUCAUACUUUUAAACCUGAAGUGGAUCUAUUCCCUCUCUCCCUAGCAAAUUCUUAUGAUUUUUUUUUUUUUUUUUGGUCUAAUACACCGGUCAGGGUAUUCCACACCCUAAAAGACAUAACAGAAUCAUCUAUUAACCAAAGAUUAUGUGUCCUCUGCUUAUCCUUUCUUGCUUCCUUUUAAAAGUUGAAUUUUAUAUGCUUAAGGGUAGGUUAAUGACUAUAAAUGUAGUUAUUGAACAAACCAUCAUUUUGUGUUCGCCUAGAAAAAAGGAAACUAAACAUUACUUGGCAGCCCCCAAAACAAUCACAUGUUUAAUGGAGUGGAGGGACAGUGCCCUAAAAGAAAGGGUGGCAUGUUGGACAGCCAAAAGAACAUCCACUACGGGUAAUGUGACUACCAGGUUUGGAGGAGAUCCAUCUCUGCUAUGAGACAGGGGCAAUUCACUUAAUCCAAGCCCCAGUUUCUUCAGCCAUGACUAGAGAUAUCAAUACCUGUCUACCUCUUUUGUGAAUCCCUUUACUAAAACGAACUGUUAUCUGUUGUUCUGUGAUUCUAUAAACCUCAGAAUAAUCUUUUCCUGUUAUAACCAAGUUCUCUAUCGUGGUCAGAGAUAUUCACCUGGUUAUUUUGGCUUCUCUAAUCCUGCUGGUGAAAACACCUCCAAGGGAGCUUUUGGUCAGGAGCUGACAAUGGCAUUUAAGGUCACUUGUGCUCUUGGUAAAGGAGAAUUUGAAAGGAGACCAGGAUUUACCCACCAAUAGUAUACUUUUUAAAUUUGGACCUAGUAACUUCCCUGAUAAGGUUAUUUAAUUCACAUUUGUUAAGUCCUAAUUAAUGCCAAGCUCUUUUUAUGUAGUAUGUUAUUUAAUUCUUACAGUAAUCCUUUGAGAUAGGUUAUCAGCUAGGGUGUUUGAAUCACUGUAAAUUAUAGGAAAAAACAAAAACAAAAAAACCUCCAACUGACCAAAACAAUACAGGCACUUGGUAGUCUAGAGAGAGAGCAGCUCCAGGAUUGGUUGAUGACUAGUGGCUUCCUACAGUCACCAGGUUCCAAGGUUCUAUCUCUGUCCUUACAUCCAGGGUUGGAUUCCUCCUAACACCAAUUUCCCUUUCUGGCAUGGCUAUCAGCCAGAAAACCAUUUCCUUAUUUAUAUCCAGCAAAGGUGACAGGGUGCCCCACAAACAAUGAAAAAAAGUGAAAAACUUGCCUUCGCCUCCUUAUGAGCCACCUUUACCCAGUUGCUUAUCUCAUAAAUAGCUACUGGGGGUGAACUUGGGGGGAAGAAAAAUACUAUGGUAGGAUUAACUCACCUCCUGAUCCAGAGUGCUAGGGUUAUCUUGAUUGGUUUGGAUGAAUUGUAAUUUACUACUGGUGCUGGGGUGAUUUUCUGUACCACAAUGCCGAAUACACAGUGAAAAAGAAAUAGAUCAAAUUUGGGAGAGCCAAGUAUAAUGCACACUACAGGUAAAUAUUGCUAAUUCCCAAUUUACAGAUGAGGAAACUGAGGCAUGGGAAAGGAAGGUAAAGUUAAUUUGCCCAAGAUGAUAAUUGAACUUGGGCAGUCUAUAUCCAUUCUAAUAGUCAAUUAUCUCCUGCAUGCACUGUUUUUUAAGAUUUUAUUUUUAGGUAAUAUCUACACCCAAAAUGGGGCUCAAAUUUACAACCCUAAGAUCAAGAGUCAUAUGCUCCGCCAACUGAGCCAGCCAGCACCCCCCCCCGCUCUUGCAUUCAUUUCUUGAAAGCUUAUGAUGUAUGUGAGGAAUUCUGAGAUAAGGAGAAGGUGUAUAAAGGAAAGUCCACAGUACUAGGCAUCAAGAGAUAGGAUUCAGUCUUGUCUCUUCUGCUUACUAGCUUUGUGACUUCUCUGAAAAUGAGAAUAAUAAAACCUACUUACUGGAAUAGUAGCAAAUACUCAAAUAGAAACCCUGCAGUGGCACUACCUCGGUGGCUCAGUCAGUUAAGCGUCCAACUUCAGCUCAGGUCAGGAUUUCACAGUUUGUGGGUUCGAGCCCUGCAUCCGGCUCUGUGCUGACAGCUCAGAGUCUGGAACCUGCUUCAGAUUCUGUGUCUACCUCUCUCUCUCUGCCCUUCCCCCGCUCAUGCUCUGUCUCUCUCUCUCUCUCUCUCAAAAAAAAAAAAAUAAUAAUAAUAAUUAAAGAAAAGAAAAGAACCCCUGCAGAAGAGUGGCAUCACUUGGGAACUUACUUGAAAUGCAAAUUCUUCAUCUCACCCCAGACCCACUUAAUCAGAAGCUGGGGGAGGGGAGGGGGGAGUGGGAGGGGCGGGCAAGGAAGGAAGCAAGGGCAAGCAAGGAAGGGGCAGCAACAAAUACUUCAAUAAACACUCCAAGUAUUUCUGAUGCUUGCUAAAAUUUGAGAAUCACUGGUCUAACACACUGCCAGGUGCAUAAACUUUUAUUUGUUGUUAGUUCUAAAGACAAUGCACAUGUUGAUGUCUAUCUCUAAGAGCUCCAAGCUUAAGGAAACAAAGAAAAAGUUCCAUAUUAAGUUCUUUAAUAUAGGACCAUACCUUUAAUAUAGGACCAUUCAAAUAAUUGAAUACAAACUUAAUAUCCUUGGAAAGCUUAUGGGCCGCUUGGGUGGCUCAGUCGGUUAAGUGUCCGACUUCAGCUCAGGUCACCAUCUCGCAGUCCGCGAGUUCGAGCCCCGCGUCGGGCUCUGGGCUGAUGGCUCAGAGCCUGGAGCCUGCUUCCGAUUCUGUGUCUCCCUCUCUCUCUGCCCCUCCCCCGUUCAUGCUCUGUCUCUCUCUGUCUCAAAAAUAAAUAAACGUUAAAAAAAUUUUUUUUAAAAAUUAUAAAAAAAUAAAAUAUCCUUGGAAAGCUUAUAAAGGAUUGAAUUUAUUUUUUUAACUUUAUUUACUUUUGAGAGAGAGAGAGAGAGAGAGAGAGAGAGAAAGUUCAUGUAUGAGUAGUAGGGGGGGGAGGGGCAGAGAGAAGGAGAGAGAAUCCCAAGCAGGCUCCGUGCUGUUUGCAGAGUGGGGUUUGAACACACAAACCAUGAGAUCAUGACCUGAGCCAAAGUCAAGAGUUGGACAAUUAACCAACUGAGCCACCCAGGCAGCCCAUGGGGUUAAAUUUAUUUCUAACAAAGUGAAUCUCAGAAAAUUUUAUAGAAAAGAAAUAAAAAGGGGGAAAAUAGCUAUAAACUGUAAAUUAUAAAGCAACUCAGAUAAUUAAACUUCCAGGGGUUAUUGCAAAGUUGUAUUUAGAAAGUUAAUUUAAAAUGUAUCAAUACAAACUAACAGAUUAGAUACCUCAUGCUGUAUGGGAAUAAAAAUCCAUCAGAAGUCAGAAAAGGAGGAUUUAUUCCUGAUAUUACACUUACUAGCUGACCCUUAAUGUCCUAUUUCAUAAAAAAAAGCAAGAGGUUGGAGCACCUGGGUGGCUCAGUUGGUUAAGCGUCCAACUUCAGCUCAGGUCACGAUCAUAGUUUGUGGGUUCAAGCCCCCCGUUGGGUUCUGAAUUGACAGCUCAGAGCUUGGAGCCAGCUUCGGAUUCUCCCUCUGCCACUCCCCCCUCUCACGCAUGCUCUCUCUCUCUCUCUCAAAAAUAAAUAAACAUAAAAAAAAAAAAAAGAAAAAAGGAAAGAAAGAAGUUGACCUGGAACCCUGGUUCUUAAUCAAGGGAAAAUAAGGUGGGCCCAUUAAGGUGGGGCAUGUGUAUGUAGACUUAAGGUUUCCACAGGAGAGUGUGGGCACAGCCUGGUUAAAGAGCAGUGGACUAAAUUGUCUCUAAUCUCUAACUGAAGAUAAAAGAAUUAUCAAAUGUAAAGGUAAAACACUGAGGAAGCAUGCAAAUAUUAUUUAAAACCUAUAAACCAAUCUCUGCUUUUGCUUUUCAAAAUUUUUGCCUCACAUCUCUGAAAAUGCUACAGUACCUGAACACCUAAUUAAUCAAAGGGAAACAUCUGUAAUAUGUAGCAACUAAAGUAUCACCUUCCCUGUGUAGAUCACAAAGUCCUUGGCAAUCACUUCCAUACCAGACUAGUGAGUAUUGUUGUUCUCAUUUUCCAGAUGGAUAAACAGAGGAUAAAGGCCUUGUUCAGUGUCAUACAUUUCUGUCACCAAAUGAGACACAAUGGAUGUCAGUCUUCUCAUUCCUUCAACAAUAAAAAGCUUUCAAGCUCUUACAGUCAA